GGGGUUGUGGCUCAGUGGUAGAGCACUCACCUACCAAGUGUGAGUCACUGGGUUUGAUCCUCAGCACCA
Molecule: non-coding RNA, 69 nt
Organism: Ictidomys tridecemlineatus (thirteen-lined ground squirrel)
Lineage: Eukaryota; Metazoa; Chordata; Mammalia; Rodentia; Sciuridae
Source: Rfam